AAUAUUUGACAAUGGGCGAGAGCCUGAUCUAUCCAGGCCUCGUGUGUGAAGAAGGUCUUUGGAUUGUAAAGCACUUUAAUUUGGGAGGAAGGGCAGUAGGUUAAUAUCUUGCUGUUUUUACGUUACCGACAGAAUAAGCAUCGGUUAACUUCGUCCCUGCAGCCGCGUCAAUACGAAGGGUGCAACCGUUAAUCGGAAUUACUGGUCUUAAGGCACGGGUAGGUGGUUCGUUAAGAAGGAAGUGAAAGAACCGGGCAUAACCUGGGGAUUGCUUUCCAAACUGACGAGCUAGAGUAGGGUAGAGGAUAGUGCAAUAUCAUGUAGAGCAGUGAAAAGAGUAGAAGUAAGAAGGAACAACAGUGGCGAAGGCGACUACCUGGAAUGAUACUGACACUGCGGUGCGAAAGCGUGGGGAGCAAACAGG
Molecule: ribosomal RNA, 424 nt
Filed under: uncultured bacterium
Lineage: Bacteria
Description: partial 16S ribosomal RNA
Rfam family: Bacterial small subunit ribosomal RNA
Source: RNAcentral